AGCGAACGUUUGCGGCGGGCCUAACACAUGCAAGUCGAACGCACUAGCAAUAGUGAGUGGCGCACGGGUGCGUAACACGUGGGUAAUCAACCCUUCAGCUUGGGAUAACGACUUGAAAGGGUCGCUAAUACCGGAUACGGCGCGGGAGGCUUCGGCUUCUCACGAGAAAGCCUCGCAAGGGGCACUGAAGGACGAGCCUGCGGCCCAUCAGCUAGUUGGUGAGGUAAGAGCUCACCAAGGCGAAGACGGGUAGCUGGUCUGAGAGGAUGAUCAGCCACACUGGAACUGAGACACGGUCCAGACUCCUACGGGAGGCAGCAGUGGGGAAUAUUGCGCAAUGGGCGAAAGCCUGACGCAGCCACGCCGCGUGAGCGAUGAAGGCCUCGGUCGUAAGACUCUGUGGGAGAGACGAAGAAAGACCGU
This 423-nucleotide ribosomal RNA is filed under the name uncultured bacterium. RNAcentral describes it as "bacterial SSU rRNA". It matches the Rfam family "Bacterial small subunit ribosomal RNA", at positions 29 to 476 of the family's 1533-position model. The record is from RNAcentral.